GUGAGGAAUUUUGCGCAAUGGGGGCAACCCUGACGCAGCGACGCCGCGUGGAGGACGAAGUCUUUCGGGAUGUAAACUCCUGUCAGUGGGGACGAUAAUGACGGUACCCACAGAGGAAGCACCGGCUAACUCCGUGCCAGCAGCCGCGGUAAGACGGAGGGUGCAAGCGUUGUUCGGAAUUACUGGGCGUAAAGCGUAUGUAGGCGGCAAGUUAAGUUCAAUGUUAAAGCCCACGGCUCAACCGAGGAGAUGCAUUGAAUACUGGCUAGCUAGAGGGUGUUAGAGGAAGACGGAAUUCCCAGUGUAGCGGUGAAAUGCGUAGAUAUUGGGAGGAACAUCGGUAGCGAAAGCGGUCUUCUGGGACAUACCUGACGCUGAGGUACGAAAGCGUGGGGAGCAAACGGGAUUAGAUACACGUGUAGUCC
This 425-nucleotide ribosomal RNA is filed under the name uncultured bacterium. Its description in RNAcentral is "partial 16S ribosomal RNA". It matches the Rfam family "Bacterial small subunit ribosomal RNA", at positions 354 to 796 of the family's 1533-position model. The record is from RNAcentral.